RNAcentral lists this ribosomal RNA (497 nucleotides) under uncultured bacterium. RNAcentral's name for it is "partial 16S ribosomal RNA". It matches the Rfam family "Bacterial small subunit ribosomal RNA", at positions 28 to 507 of the family's 1533-position model. The record is from RNAcentral.
GAUGAACGCUGGCGGCGUGCCUAAUACAUGCCAGUCGAGCGAACAGACGAGGAGCUUGCUCCUCUGACGUUAGCGGCGGACGGGUGAGUAACACGUGGAUAACCUACCUAUAAGACUGGGAUAACUUCGGGAAACCGGAGCUAAUACCGUAUAAUAUAUUGAACCGCAUGGUUCAAUAGUAAAAUACGGUUUUGCUGUCACUUAUAGAUGGAUCCGCGCCGCAUUAGCUAGUUGGUAAGGUAACGGCUUACCAAGGCAACGAUUCGUAGCCGACCUGAGAGGGUGAUCGGCCACACUGGAACUGAGACACGCUCAAGACUCCUACGGGAGGCAGCAGAAGGGAAUCUUCCGCAAUGGGCGAAAGCCUGACGGAGCACCGCCGCGUGAGUGAUGAAGGUCUUCGGAUCGUAAAACUCUGUUAUUAGGGAAGAACAAAUGUGUAAGUAACUAUGCACGUCUUGACGGUACCUAAUCAGAAAGCCACGGCUAACUACGUG